UGCAGAAUCCCGCGAACCAUCGAGUCUUUGAACGCAAGUUGCGCCCAAGGCCAUUCGGCCGGGGGCACGCCUGCCUGGGCGUCACGCUAAACACGCUCCCAUCCCCUCAUUGGGAGCGGGAUGUGGCAUAUGGCUCCUUGUCGCGCAAGUUGCGUUGGGCCAAAGAUAUGGCUGCUGGUGUACCGUGCCGGACACAGCGCGUGGUAGGCGUCCUCGCUAUACUUCUGUAGUGUCUCCGGUGUGUAGCCAAGGUGAUGGCCUCGAAAGAGCCUUUCAAUGGUGCGCAUGACGCUCCGACCGCGACCCCAGGUCAGUCGGGACUACCCGCUGAAUUUAAGCAUAUAAAUAAGCGGAGGAGAAGAAACUUACAAGGAUUCCCCUAGUAAUGGCGAACGAACCGGGAACAGCCCAGCUUGAGAAUCGGGCGGCGUGUCGUCUGA
Molecule: ribosomal RNA, 440 nt
Filed under: Mibora minima
Lineage: Eukaryota; Viridiplantae; Streptophyta; Magnoliopsida; Poales; Poaceae
Description: eukaryotic LSU rRNA
Rfam family: Eukaryotic large subunit ribosomal RNA (bases 301-440)
Source: RNAcentral